RNAcentral lists this transfer RNA (93 nucleotides) under Candidatus Anoxymicrobium japonicum. Its description in RNAcentral is "Actinobacteria bacterium HGW-Actinobacteria-3 tRNA-Ser". It matches the Rfam family "tRNA". From Rfam's summary of the family: Transfer RNA (tRNA) molecules are approximately 80 nucleotides in length. Their secondary structure includes four short double-helical elements and three loops (D, anti-codon, and T loops). Further hydrogen bonds mediate the characteristic L-shaped molecular structure. tRNAs have two regions of fundamental functional importance: the anti-codon, which is responsible for specific mRNA codon recognition, and the 3' end, to which the tRNAs corresponding amino acid is attached (by aminoacyl-tRNA synthetases). tRNAs cope with the degeneracy of the genetic code in two manners: having more than one tRNA (with a specific anti-codon) for a particular amino acid; and 'wobble' base-pairing, i.e. permitting non-standard base-pairing at the 3rd anti-codon position. The record is from RNAcentral. Lineage: Bacteria; Bacillati; Actinomycetota; Candidatus Geothermincolia; Candidatus Geothermincolales; Candidatus Anoxymicrobiaceae.
GGAGAGAUGGCCGAGUCUGGUUUAAGGCGCACGCCUGGAAAGCGUGUGGGCCCCACAAGGGCCUCGUGGGUUCAAAUCCCACUCUCUCCGCCA